AGUCGAUAGUUGGCCUGAGUGUAGGGCCUUCUGUUGUAUUCCACUGCUAACC
Molecule: small RNA, 52 nt
Filed under: Caenorhabditis elegans
Lineage: Eukaryota; Metazoa; Nematoda; Chromadorea; Rhabditida; Rhabditidae
Description: Unclassified non-coding RNA Y111B2A.34
Source: RNAcentral